This 1116-nucleotide long non-coding RNA is filed under the name Oncorhynchus kisutch (coho salmon). RNAcentral describes it as "lncRNA (ENSOKIG00005023499.1)". Lineage: Eukaryota; Metazoa; Chordata; Actinopteri; Salmoniformes; Salmonidae. The record is from RNAcentral.
UGUAGUGUUCUAUUUCUACUGUGUGUAGACUGCAGUGUUCUAUUUCUACUGUGUGUAGACUGCAGUGUUCUAUUUCUACUGUGUGUAGACUGCAGUGUUCUAUUUCUACUGUGUGUAGACUGCAGUGUUCUAUUUCUACUGUGUGUAGACUGCAGUGUUCUAUUUCUACUGUGUGUAGACUGCAGUGUUCUAUUUCUACUGUGUGUAGACUGCAGUGUUCUAUUUCUACUGUGUGUAGACUGCAGUGUUCUAUUUCUACUGUGUGUAGACUGCAGUGUUCUAUUUCUACUGUGUGUAGACUGCAGUGUUCUAUUUCUACUGUGUGUAGACUGCAGUGUUCUAUUUCUACUGUGUGUAGACUGCAGUGUUCUAUUUCUACUGUGUGUAGACUGCAGUGUUCUAUUUCUACUGUGUGUAGACUGCAGUGUUCUAUUUCUACUGUGUGUAGACUGCAGUGUUCUAUUUCUACUGUGUGUAGACUGCAGUGUUCUAUUUCUACUGUGUGUAGAUUGCAGUGUUCUAUUUCUACUGUGUGUAGACUGCAGUGUUCUAUUUCUACUGUGUGUAGACUGCAGUGUUCCAUUUCUACUGUGUGUAUAUUGCAGCUCAUUAUUUAUCUGUUCUAUUUCUACACUGUGUAUAUUGCAGCUCAUUAUUUAUCUGUUCUAUUUCUACACUGUGUAUAUUGCAGCUCAUUAUAUAUCUGUUCUAUUUCUACACUGUGUAUAUUGCAGCUCAUUAUAUAUCUGUUCUAUUUCUACACUGUGUAUAUUGCAGCUCAUUAUUUAUCUGUUCUAUUUCUACACUGUGUAUAUUGCAGCUCAUUAUUUAUCUGUUCUAUUUCUGCAGUGUCUAUGUUGCAGUUCAUUAGACACUAUAGAAAUAGAACAGAUAGAUAACGACCUGCAAUAUGGACACUGCAGAAAUAGAACAGAUAGAUAUUGCAGGUCAUUAUAUAUCUGUUCUAUUUCUACACGGUGUAUAUUGCAGGUCCAUAUCCAGCUCUGCGUGUCUAUGAUUCAUUCCCCAGACUAUCACUAUCAGUGGCAGUUACCGAUCCCCACCAUUAUACGGUGUAAUAAUGUACAUCCAAGUGUGUGUGCAUGCAUCUCCUAA